ACGAACGCUGGCGGCAGGCCUAACACAUGCAAGUCGAACGCUCUAGCAAUAGAGAGUGGCAGACGGGUGAGUAACGCGUGGGAACCUUCCCAAUGGUACGGAAUAGCUCAGGGAAACUUGAGGUAAUACCGUAUAAGCCCCUAGGGGGAAAGAUUUAUCGCCAUUGGAUGGGCCCGCGUCGGAUUAGCUAGUUGGUAGGGUAAUGGCC
RNAcentral lists this ribosomal RNA (208 nucleotides) under uncultured bacterium. Its description in RNAcentral is "partial 16S ribosomal RNA". It matches the Rfam family "Bacterial small subunit ribosomal RNA", at positions 29 to 265 of the family's 1533-position model. The record is from RNAcentral.